CAGCCGCCGCGGUAAUACGAAGGGUGCAAGCGUUACUCGGAAUUACUGGGCGUAAAGCGUGCGUAGGUGGUGGUUUAAGUCCGUUGUGAAAUCCCCGGGCUCAACCUGGGAACUGCAUUCGUGACUGGCAAGCUAGAGUGUGGCAGAGGGGGGUGGAAUUCCGCGUGUAGCAGUGAAAUGCGUAGAUAUGCGGAGGAACACCGAUGGCGAAGGCAGCCCCCUGGGCCAACACUGACGCUCAUGCACGAAAGCGUGGGGAGCAAACAGGAUUAGAUACCCCGGUAGUCCCUGUCUCUUAUAC
Molecule: ribosomal RNA, 301 nt
Filed under: uncultured bacterium
Lineage: Bacteria
Description: partial 16S ribosomal RNA
Rfam family: Bacterial small subunit ribosomal RNA
Source: RNAcentral